Molecule: non-coding RNA, 144 nt
Organism: Caenorhabditis elegans
Lineage: Eukaryota; Metazoa; Nematoda; Chromadorea; Rhabditida; Rhabditidae
Source: Ensembl
GCUCCACAAUGCGUAUUACCGUAGUCACAGCGCGUGAGAGACAUCUUCUCUCAAACAGACCCGUUUUCAUUCGUUCUUACGCUUAUUUCAGACGUCUUUCCAGAUUAUGCGAAAAUAAAAUUAAAGCAUGCAAUUCGUCUCAUU